This 253-nucleotide ribosomal RNA is filed under the name uncultured bacterium. RNAcentral describes it as "partial 16S ribosomal RNA". It matches the Rfam family "Bacterial small subunit ribosomal RNA", at positions 524 to 776 of the family's 1533-position model. The record is from RNAcentral.
UACGUAGGGCGCAAGCGUUGUCCGGAAUUAUUGGGCGUAAAGAGCUCGUAGGUGGCUUGUCACGUCGGGUGUGAAAGCUUGGGGCUUAACUCCAGGUCUGCAUUCGAUACGGGCUGGCUAGAGGUAGGUAGGGGAGAACGGAAUUCCUGGUGUAGCGGUGAAAUGCGCAGAUAUCAGGAGGAACACCGGUGGCGAAGGCGGUCUGCUGGGCCGUUGCUGACGCUGAGGCGCGACAGCGUGGGGAGCAAACAGG